CGAGUUCGCCAGACGGCCGCGGUUGCUCAGGGCAAUCGAGGAAAGUCCGGACUCCACAGGACAGGGAGCUGGGUAACGCCCAGGCGGGGCGACCCGACGGAAAGUGCUACAGAGACCAGACCGCCGAUGGCCCUUCGGGGCACAGGCAAGGGUGAAACGGUGGUGUAAGAGACCACCAGCAUCCCGGGAGACCGGGGUGGCUGGUAAACCCCUCCCGGAGCAAGGUCAAGCAGAGGCGUCGGCGGUCCGCCGGUCAAGCUUCGGGUGGACCGCACCGAGGUCUGGCGGCAACGCAGACCCCAGAUGGAUGGCCGUCGCCCGUUACAGGCGGGUACAGAAUCCGGCUUACCGGCGGGCUCGUCGC
This 364-nucleotide RNase P RNA is filed under the name bacterium. RNAcentral's name for it is "RNase P RNA component class A". It matches the Rfam family "Bacterial RNase P class A". Rfam says of the family: Ribonuclease P (RNase P) is a ubiquitous endoribonuclease, found in archaea, bacteria and eukarya as well as chloroplasts and mitochondria. Its best characterised activity is the generation of mature 5'-ends of tRNAs by cleaving the 5'-leader elements of precursor-tRNAs. The record is from RNAcentral.